GAUGAACGCUGGCGGCGUGCCUAACACAUGCAAGUCGAGCGAGAAGUUUGAAAAAUGAGUUUUCGGACAAGUGAUUCAAACGGAAAGCGGCGGACGGGUGAGUAACGCGUAGGCAACCUGCCCCGUGCAGAGGGACAGCCUCGGGAAACCGGGAUUAAGACCUCAUGAUAUCGGGUUAUCACAUGGUAAUCCGGUCAAAGAGUUAUCGGGUUGGGAUGGGCCUGCGUCUGAUUAGCUGGUUGGUGGGGUAACGGCCUACCAAGGCGACGAUCAGUAGCAGAACUGAGAGGUUCAUCUGCCACAUUGGAACUGAGACACGGUCCAAACUCCUACGGGAGGCAGCAGUGAGGAAUAUUGCACAAUGGGCGAAAGCCUGAUGCAGCAACGCCGCGUGAGCGAAGAAGGCCUUUGGGUCGUAAAGCUCUGUCCUUGGGGAAGAAACAAAUGACGGUACCCUUGGAGGAAGCCCCGGCUAACUACGUGCCAGCAGCCGCAGUAA
RNAcentral lists this ribosomal RNA (499 nucleotides) under uncultured bacterium. Its description in RNAcentral is "partial 16S ribosomal RNA". It matches the Rfam family "Bacterial small subunit ribosomal RNA", at positions 28 to 523 of the family's 1533-position model. The record is from RNAcentral.